This 391-nucleotide unclassified non-coding RNA is filed under the name soil metagenome. Its description in RNAcentral is "partial contains 5.8S ribosomal RNA, internal transcribed spacer 2, and large subunit ribosomal RNA". The stretch from base 1 to 122 matches the Rfam family "5.8S ribosomal RNA", at positions 35 to 154 of the family's 154-position model. The record is from RNAcentral.
GAUGAAGAACGCAGCGAAAUGCGAUACUUGGGGUGAAUUGCAGAAUCCCGUGAACCAUCGAGUCUUUGAACGCAAGUUGCGCCCGAAGCCAUUAGGCCGAGGGCACGCCUGCCUGGGCGUCACACGUCGUUGCCCCCCCAUCUACUCCUUCGGGAUUGCGGGGGGCGGAUGAUGGCCUCCCGUGCGCCACGCCGCGCGGUUGGCAUAAAUGCCAAGUCCUCGGCGACGCACGCCACGACAAUCGGUGGUUGCGAAACCUCGGUUGCCCGUCGUGUGCGGUCGUCGCGCAUCGAGGGCUCGAAAAAAUUGCCGGGUUCCGGCUCGGCUUUCAACGCGACCCCAGGUCAGGCGGGGUUACCCGCUGAAUUUAAGCAUAUCAAUAAGCGGAGGA